AAAGCUCAAAUUUAAAAUCUGGCUGCCUCCGGUGGUCCGAGUUGUAAUCUGGAGAAGCGUUUUCCGCGUCGGACCGUGUACAAGUCUUCUGGAACGGAGCGUCAUAGAGGGUGAGAAUCCCGUCUCUGACACGGACUACCGAUGCUUUUGUGAUGCGCUCUCGAAGAGUCGAGUUGUUUGGGAAUGCAGCUCAAAAUGGGAGGUAAAUUCCUUCUAAAGCUAAAUAUUGGCUAGAGACCNAUAGCGAA
Molecule: ribosomal RNA, 248 nt
Filed under: Athelia arachnoidea
Lineage: Eukaryota; Fungi; Basidiomycota; Agaricomycetes; Atheliales; Atheliaceae
Description: partial 28S ribosomal RNA
Rfam family: Eukaryotic large subunit ribosomal RNA
Source: RNAcentral